CUCGUAGGCGGUUCAGUAAGUCAGGUGUGAAAUCUUUGGGCUUAACCCAAAGCGUGCAUUUGAUACUGCUGUGACUUGAGUUCGGUAGGGGAGUGGGGAAUUCCUAGUGUAGCGGUGAAAUGCGCAGAUAUUAGGAGGAACACCGGUGGCGAAGGCGCCACUCUGGGCCGAAACUGACGCUGAGGAGCGAAAGCGUGGUAGCAAACA
This 207-nucleotide ribosomal RNA is filed under the name uncultured bacterium. Its description in RNAcentral is "partial 16S ribosomal RNA". It matches the Rfam family "Bacterial small subunit ribosomal RNA", at positions 568 to 774 of the family's 1533-position model. The record is from RNAcentral.